This 386-nucleotide ribosomal RNA is filed under the name uncultured bacterium. RNAcentral's name for it is "bacterial SSU rRNA". It matches the Rfam family "Bacterial small subunit ribosomal RNA", at positions 28 to 416 of the family's 1533-position model. The record is from RNAcentral.
GACGAACGCUGGCGGCGUGCUUAACACAUGCAAGUCGAGCGGUAAGGCCCUUUCGGGGGUACACGAGCGGCGAACGGGUGAGUAACACGUGGGUGACCUGCCCUCAGCUCUGGGAUAAGCCUGGGAAACCGGGUCUAAUACUGGAUAUGACUCCAUGACGCAUGUUGUGGGGUGGAAAGCCUUGUGCGGCUGAGGAUGGGCCCGCGGCCUAUCAGCUUGUUGGGGGGUGAUGGCCUACCAAGGCGACGACGGGUAGCCGGCCUGAGAGGGCGACCGGCCACACUGGGACUGAGACACGGCCCAGACUCCUACGGGAGGCAGCAGUGGGGAAUCUUGCGCAAUGGGCGAAAGCCUGACGCAGCGACGCCGCGUGAGGGAUGACGGCU